UACAGAGGGUGCAAGCGUUAAUCGGAAUUACUGGGCUUAAAGCGUGCGUAGACGGUUAUGUAAGUCGGGUGUGAAAGCCCCGGGCUCAACCUGGGAAUUGCAUUCGAGACUGCAUAGCUAGGAUGCGGAAGAGGGAAGCGGAAUUUCCGGUGUAGCGGUGAAAUGCGUAGAUAUCGGAAGGAACACCAGUGGCGAAAGCGGCUUCCUGGUCCAGCAUCGACGUUCAGGCACGAAAGCGUGGGGAGCAAACAGG
RNAcentral lists this ribosomal RNA (253 nucleotides) under uncultured bacterium. RNAcentral describes it as "partial 16S ribosomal RNA". It matches the Rfam family "Bacterial small subunit ribosomal RNA", at positions 524 to 776 of the family's 1533-position model. The record is from RNAcentral.